RNAcentral lists this non-coding RNA (26 nucleotides) under Macaca fascicularis (crab-eating macaque). RNAcentral also lists the same sequence under 1 other name. The record is from RNAcentral. Lineage: Eukaryota; Metazoa; Chordata; Mammalia; Primates; Cercopithecidae.
UGAUGGUGUUAUUGUGCCUUUGGAAC